AAACGAUGAUUUGGUUCUAUACCAGCCGUUCAUACACCAGGAACCAAGGCUACCUGAUAUCAGCGCGGUGAUGGCGGCAGCCUUGAAAGGGAUCUCAAGUUUCGUCAAGUUUCUUUUUCACUUGGGUUCGAGUUCCCAACAAGAUCAGCCAAUCUGGAAUAUCUAAAUACCUGAAUUCUCAAGGACAGAAAAAGCACAUAGGUGCAUUUGAAUGUUGCUGAUACGCGGAUUCGACUCAGAAAAAAUGUCGGGAGAGCAGCAGCUGAUUGGCUCGUUCUCGAGCUUUUCACAUCUACAGUCACCUGGGCAGCUAGAGGUUUCGUCA
RNAcentral lists this small RNA (325 nucleotides) under Histoplasma capsulatum. RNAcentral's name for it is "hypothetical RNA". Lineage: Eukaryota; Fungi; Ascomycota; Eurotiomycetes; Onygenales; Ajellomycetaceae. The record is from RNAcentral. RNAcentral also lists the same sequence under 1 other name.